CACGGUCUUCUCCCAUCCGGUCCGGACCCCACUCCGAGGUGCACCAACGACACAGCCACCGACCCACGAGGCCCUCCAACGGCAUCAGCGCUUCUAAGCCCUGAAGAAUAAAGCGACCUGCCCAGAGGCGCACGAGGCCCGCGCCCUGAACCCGCGUCUAGGCUCAGCUCCCCUCUCCCCGGGGGCAGAGCCCGCUCGAAUUCGGAGGGGCCUGCUUGGGCACCUCCACGCGGAGCCGUUUCAAGAAAUUCUAAGCAAAACCAAUCGUUGAGGAGUCCGAGGAAUCCAAGGAGCCACAAACCCUGCCGGACCAGGAAGAUGGUAAAAACUCCCACCCGUGACCUUAGGCAGGUACCUCCCCAAGCCUCACUUUCAUCGUGUGCAAAAUGAGAACGUCUAAUUUAAAGGAUCUUCGUGAUGAUGACACGGUACCGUGCAUCUACAAUAACUCGGCGCGGCUCACGGUCCAGAAGGUCUCAAUUGUUACAACAUGGUUGCAUAGCAGCUUCUAUCAAAGUUCAGCAAAUUAUCAAUGUCAUACUUCCACGUGUAACAAAGCUGUACUGGAAGAAGAUAAGAAUUGGACUACAGUUGUCUGGGAAAUGUAGUUUCUUUAUUCCCUGUUUUCAAAACUUAUUACCAAAUGCCCGUCAAUUGGUGAAAACGUCAACAAAAUGUGAUUUAUCAAAAAAACCUGAAUACUACUACAAUAAAAAGAAGCAAACCACUGAUACAGCAUGAAUGAAUGAAUCUCAGAAAUACUAUGGUGACUGAAAGAAGCCAGGCUCAAAAGACGACAUGAUUCCAUUUAUGGCCUUCUGGAACAUGCAAGACUAAAUGCCUGGCACACAGUGAGAGAGAGAGAGAGAGAGGCAGAGACAGAAGCAGGCUCCAUGCACCGGGAACCCGAUGUGGGAUUCGAUCCCGGGUCUCCAGGAUCGCGCCCUGGGCCAAAGGCAGGCGCCAAACCGCUGCGCCACCCAGGGAUCCCUGUUUUAUUUUUAAGAAAAGGUGGAUGGACACAGAGAAAAUGCACUCGAGAGGAAAACUUAACAUUGUCAUGGAAGGCCACCUGUCUGCUGUACAAUAUAAUGAAGAGUUAAAGAUGUCAUGUGUCUGUCUGUCAUACAUGAUUUAUUUGUCCUUGGUUGGCAAAUUUAUGCUUCUGUUCUUCAUUUUAGAAGUUUCUGCAUUGUCCUGAACAUAUUCCUUAACACAAAAUGAAAAAUACUCUGCCUCUAUGAGGACAUAUAAACUCAAAAAAAUGCUGAAUGCUCCAUCAAUCUUUUGCAGAUUUUGAAUCAAAUGCAGAGUGAGUGUUUCAUUAUGUUAAAAAGAGAGGAAAAUGGUAAACUAUGGGAAAAUAUUUUCACCAAAUGUAAUCAUUAAAGAGCUAAUAACUAUAAUAAAAGGAAUUCAUAUAAGUUUAUGAGAAAAAACAAUAGCUCAAUUGAUGAAUGGUCAACACAAAUAACUAAAAAAUAAAAUGCCAAAGUAAAUGAGUAUAUAAAAAAUGUUUAUGGCACUCCAGAUGUUGGCGACAUUAUAAAUUACUGCAAUGUUUUAAAGGCAUUAUAAUAAUACAUACAAGGAAUGUAAACAAAUGUCCAUAACUUCUGACACAUUUAUCCUAAUCCUUAGAGUUUACCUUAAGGAAAUAAUUUAAAAGAAAGGAAAAAACAUGUAUAUAAAUAUGCCAGUUUAUUAAUCAUGCAUGACUACAAUAUUAAAAAUUUAAAGAAGCUGGAAAUCCAAUAGAACUUAGUAACUUAUGCUAUAUUAUGCAAUCGAUUAUUGUAAGGACUGCAUUAUUGGGUAACAAAUGAAAAUCAUGAUGAAAUUUCAUUUACUAUAAUUAUAGUUAUUUAAAUUCUUAAAGAGCAUAAGAAAACAUGAGA
Long non-coding RNA from Canis lupus familiaris (dog), 1898 nucleotides. RefSeq lists it as uncharacterized. Lineage: Eukaryota; Metazoa; Chordata; Mammalia; Carnivora; Canidae. The record is from RefSeq and is a predicted model, not a curated record. The transcript is spliced from 4 exons.